GAUGAACGCUGGCGGCGUGCCUAAUACAUGCAAGUCGAGCGAACGGACGAGAAGCUUGCUUCUCUGAUGUUAGCGGCGGACGGGUGAGUAACACGUGGAUAACCUACCUAUAAGACUGGGAUAACUUCGGGAAACCGGAGCUAAUACCGGAUGAUAUUUUGAACCGCAUGGUUCAAAAGUGAAAGACGGUCUUGCUGUCACUUAUAGAUGGAUCCGCGCUGCAUUAGCUAGUUGGUAAGGUAACGGCUUACCAAGGCAACGAUGCAUAGCCGACCUGAGAGGGUGAUCGGCCACACUGGAACUGAGACACGGUCCAGACUCCUACGGGAGGCAGCAGUAGGGAAUCUUCCGCAAUGGGCGAAAGCCUGACGGAGCAACGCCGCGUGAGUGAUGAAGGUCUUCGGAUCGUAAAACUCUGUUAUUAGGGAAGAACAUAUGUGUAAGUAACUGUGCACAUCUUGACGGUACCUAAUCAGAGAGCCACGGCUAACUACGUGCCAGCAGCCGCGGUAAUACGUAGGUGGCAAGCGUUAUCCGGAAUUAUUGGGCGUAAGCGCGCGUAGGCGGUUUUUUAAGUCUGAUGUGAAAGCCCACGGCUCAACCGUGGAGGGUCAUUGGAAACUGGAAAACUUGAGUGCAGAAGAGGAAAGUGGAAUUCCAUGUGUAGCGGUGAAAUGCGCAGAGAUAUGGAGGAACACCAGUGGCGAAGGCGACUUUCUGGUCUGUAACUGACGCUGAUGUGCGAAAGCGUGGGGAUCAAACAGGAUUAGAUACCCUGGUAGUCCACGCCGUAAACGAUGAGUGCUAAGUGUUAGGGGGUUUCCGCCCCUUAGUGCUGCAGCUAACGCAUUAAGCACUCCGCCUGGGGAGUACGACCGCAAGGUUGAAACUCAAAGGAAUUGACGGGGACCCGCACAAGCGGUGGAGCAUGUGGUUUAAUUCGAAGCAACGCGAAGAACCUUACCAAAUCUUGACAUCCUUUGACAACUCUAGAGAUAGAGCCUUCCCCUUCGGGGGACAAAGUGACAGGUGGUGCAUGGUUGUCGUCAGCUCGUGUCGUGAGAUGUUGGGUUAAGUCCCGCAACGAGCGCAACCCUUAAGCUUAGUUGCCAUCAUUAAGUUGGGCACUCUAAGUUGACUGCCGGUGACAAACCGGAGGAAGGUGGGGAUGACGUCAAAUCAUCAUGCCCCUUAUGAUUUGGGCUACAUACGUGCUACAAUGGACAAUACAAAGGGCAGCGAAACCGCGAGGUCAAGCAAAUCCCAUAAAGUUGUUCUCAGUUCGGAUUGUAGUCUGCAACUCGACUACAUGAAGCUGGAAUCGCUAGUAAUCGUAGAUCAGCAUGCUACGGUGAAUACGUUCCCGGGUCU
This 1371-nucleotide ribosomal RNA is filed under the name uncultured bacterium. RNAcentral's name for it is "bacterial SSU rRNA". It matches the Rfam family "Bacterial small subunit ribosomal RNA", at positions 28 to 1381 of the family's 1533-position model. The record is from RNAcentral.